AGGCAGAGGUUGCAGCAGUGAGCCAAGAUAGCACCACUACACUCCAGCCUAAGCAACAGAGUGAGGCUCGGUCUUAAGAAAAAAAAAAAAAGAAAGUGUUCAAUGAACCAAUUGUUGAAGAAAGAAGAUUGGCAAUUUCUAAGGUACCUUCUACCUCUGGAAAUCUAGGAUUUCAAGACAUCUUCUGCUUGGUGGUACUAAGCAUUGCUGUUCAUUUCUAAAUUCAAGAAAGAGUUCUGGUUUAAGUCCUUUCUCUUUUCUGAUUCCCGCAAAAUACAGAUGUUCUUUCAAGCAAUGUAUUUAGCUAACAAAAGUUCCCUAAAGCAAAAUAGUAGAUGUCCAUGAGCUUGGCAGAGGGGAAUUUUAGAGCAAUUUUUAUUUACUGCUUGAUUGCAAAGAUCACUCUUAACUCUUGCCUUAUUUUUAUCCUAUGCAACAUAACAAAACAAAAAGGGUAAAACAUUAGGCACAAAAAUUAGAAGCACGCUGCACACUCUAGGUCCUUCACUCUGUCUAGAUUUCCAAAUGACCACCACCUUCAUUACUUCCUGUCCAUCCUGGGACCCACGAUAAACCGCUUCUACUAUGUCCUCUCUUUCACUAGCCCCCUUUUCCUUUUGACCUUCAUAAUCCCUAGUCCUGAGCUGCUCAUUACUACUGGAAAGAAUCCUUCAACCAGGCCAAAGGCUCUGCCUGAAGUUCAUGCAUCUUUGCCCUAACUUUCUAAUCAUUCAUGCAUGAUCAUCUACCCAUUUCCCUCAGAAGCUAUUCAAAUCUUUGUCCUUCUUGACCUCUUUGUGCAACUACACUACUACUGACCAUGCUCUUCUUAGACCUCUCUGCUUUCCUGUCACCAUCUGCUUCAUUCUCUUUCUCUUGGCCUUGAAAGCUCCUUCUCAGACUCUUUUAUAUUCAGAUGCUUUUCAAGUUUCUGUCCAGGCCUUCUUUGUUUCCUCUCUAUUCUCAUUUCCUGGAUAACAACAUUCAGUCUCAAUGAAGCAAUUAUCUCCUUCACAAACAGUAAAGGACCACACACCUUGGACAUAAUUCUGGCCCUCAUCACUAGCUGUUUUGGUUUUCUGCAGGUUAACUCACUGUAGUCUCUGGUGACUCAUCUCUUAAAUGGAGAUAAAAGUAGCUACCUCAAAGGGCUGUGAAGAUUAAAUGAGGUAACAUAUAUCAAUAUCAAGUACCUAGUACGGUGCCUAGAACACAGUAGAGGUAACUCGGUAUCACGAGCGCUGGCCUCUCCUGCAACCCUACACCCACGUUUCUAAUUGUAUGAUAAACAUUUCUAUCUUCAUAUCCACCAACAACUCAAAUCUGGCCUGCUUAAGACCAAACUCAUCAUUGUCUUCCCUCUCUUGCAGUUUCCCAUCUUAAUUAUACCCUAAGAGCUCAUGCUGGGAUUUCUAAGCAUGUUCACUUCAUCACAUCCCCCCAACUCUUUACACAAAAUUAGUCUUUGCACUGUCUUGUACUUCUGUCCUGCUACUAUACCUCAGGCCUCACAGAGGGAAAAUUUACUGUCAGUCCCCUUAUCCUUGGGGGAUAUGUUCCAAGACCCCCCAGUGGAUGCUUGAAACCGCAGAUAGUACCAAACCUUGUAUAUACUAUGCUUUUUCCUAUAUAUUCACACCUACGAUAAAGUUUAAUCUUUUAAUUAGGCCAAGACAUG
Molecule: long non-coding RNA, 1678 nt
Organism: Cebus imitator (Panamanian white-faced capuchin)
Lineage: Eukaryota; Metazoa; Chordata; Mammalia; Primates; Cebidae
Exons: 3
Source: RefSeq, a predicted model, not a curated record